GACGAACGCUGGCGGCGUGCCUAAUACAUGCAAGUUGAGCGCUGAAGGUUGGUACUUGUACCAACUGGAUGAGCAGCGAACGGGUGAGUAACGCGUGGGGAAUCUGCCUUUGAGCGGGGGACAACAUUUGGAAACGAAUGCUAAUACCGCAUAAAAACUUUAAACACAAGUUUUAAGUUCGAAAGAUGCAAUUGCAUCACUCAAAGAUGAUCCCGCGUUGUAUUAGCUAGUUGGUGAGGUAAAGGCUCACCAAGGCGAUGAUACAUAGCCGACCUGAGAGGGUGAUCGGCCACAUUGGGACUGGGACACGGCCCAAACUCCUACGGGAGGCAGCAGUAGGGAAUCUUCGGCAAUGGACGAAAGUCUGACCGAGCAACGCCGCGUGAGUGAAGAAGGUUUUCGGAUCGUAAAACUCGGUUGGUAGAGAAGAACGUUGGUGAGAGUGGAAAGCUCAUCAAGUGACGGUAACUACCCAGAAAGGGACGGCUAACUACGUG
Molecule: ribosomal RNA, 497 nt
Filed under: uncultured bacterium
Lineage: Bacteria
Description: partial 16S ribosomal RNA
Rfam family: Bacterial small subunit ribosomal RNA
Source: RNAcentral